UACGUAGGGGGCAAGCGUUAUCCGGAUUUACUGGGUGUAAAGGGAGCGUAGACGGUGAGACAAGUCUGAAGUGAAAGCCCGGGGCUCAACCCCGGGACUGCUUUGGAAACUGCCUGACUGGAGUGCUGGAGAGGCAAGCGGAAUUCCUAGUGUAGCGGUGAAAUGCGUAGAUAUUAGGAGGAACACCAGUGGCGAAGGCGAUUUGCUGGACUGUAACUGACACUGAGGCGCGAAAGCGUGGGUAUCGAACAGG
Molecule: ribosomal RNA, 253 nt
Filed under: uncultured Eubacteriales bacterium
Lineage: Bacteria; Bacillati; Bacillota; Clostridia; Eubacteriales
Description: uncultured Clostridiales bacterium partial 16S ribosomal RNA
Rfam family: Bacterial small subunit ribosomal RNA
Source: RNAcentral